This is a long non-coding RNA of Antechinus flavipes (yellow-footed antechinus), 307 nucleotides long. RefSeq lists it as uncharacterized. The transcript is spliced from 2 exons. The record is from RefSeq and is a predicted model, not a curated record. Lineage: Eukaryota; Metazoa; Chordata; Mammalia; Dasyuromorphia; Dasyuridae.
AAGAGGAUGAGAAGGAGGACAAGGAGGAGGAGGAGGACGAGGAGGAGGACGAGGACAACAAAAAAGAAGAGGAGGCGGAGACCAAGGAGGAAGGGAAGGAGGAGGCGAAAACCUCAGUUGCCCAGCAAGAGGGUGCUGCAUCCAAGUAGUAAGGGUCGAACACAAGAUUUGGCCUCAGCUUCCCGAUUCCCAAUGCGAUUCCCUGAAUCAAAGAGGCUAUGAGAAGAGACAGCAGGAAGUCAGCAUGUCACCCAGAACCCAAAACACCCAAGGGCCCACAAACAAAUUAAAAGAGCGUGUCCCUAAA